RNAcentral lists this ribosomal RNA (439 nucleotides) under uncultured bacterium. RNAcentral describes it as "partial 16S ribosomal RNA". It matches the Rfam family "Bacterial small subunit ribosomal RNA", at positions 339 to 795 of the family's 1533-position model. The record is from RNAcentral.
CUACGGGGGGCAGCAGUGGGGGAUAUUGCACAAUGGGGGAAACCCUGAUGCAGCGACGCCGCGUGUGGGAAGACGGUCCUCUGGAUUGUAAACCACUGUCCCCAGGGACGAAGAUGACGGUACCUGGGGAGGAACCUCCGGCAAACUACGUGCCACCGGCCGCGGUAAUCCGUAGGGGGCAAGCGUUGUCCGGAAUUACUGGGUGAAAAGGAAGCGUAGGCGGGAUGGCAAGUUGGGUGUUAAAUCUACCGGCUCAACUGGUAGUCGCACCCAAAACUGCUAUCCUUGAGUGAAGUAGAGGCAGGCGGAAUUCCUAGUGUAGCGGUGAAAUGCGUAGAUAUUAGGAGGAACACCAGUGGCGAAGGCGGCCUGCUGGGCUUUUACUGACGCUGAGGCUCGAAAGUGUGGGGAGCAAACAGGAUUAGAUACCCGAGUAGUC